GACGAACCGUGCGAACGUUAUUCGGAAUCACUGGGCUUAAAGCGCGUGUAGGCGGGUGGGAACGUCGGCCGCUGAAAUCCCCCGGCUCAACCGGGGAAGGGGCGCCGAAACGGCCCGCCUGGAGGGACGUAGGGGGAGCUGGAACUUCCGGUGGAGCGGUGAAAUGCGUUGAGAUCGGAAGGAACGCCCGUGGCGAAAGCGAGCUCCUGGACGUUUUCUGACGCUGAGACGCGAAAGCCAGGGGAGCGAACGGG
This 254-nucleotide ribosomal RNA is filed under the name uncultured bacterium. RNAcentral's name for it is "partial 16S ribosomal RNA". It matches the Rfam family "Bacterial small subunit ribosomal RNA", at positions 524 to 776 of the family's 1533-position model. The record is from RNAcentral.